This 1994-nucleotide long non-coding RNA is filed under the name Sus scrofa (pig). RNAcentral describes it as "lncRNA (ENSSSCG00025065925.1, ENSSSCG00035018437.1)". Lineage: Eukaryota; Metazoa; Chordata; Mammalia; Artiodactyla; Suidae. The record is from RNAcentral.
UCAAAUGUGCAGGAAAUAAUUAUUCUACGAUGUCUUUGCCAGUCUUUUGAGCCUGAAUCACUGUUGAGACCUUAUUAAACAAUGUAAUGGCUUGGCUCAGAAAAUAAUUUUAUGACGUCUUUUAACUCAAGUUUCUUAGUUUUUACAGUUCAAGUACUUUUCAGACUACUCUGGUUCUCUUCCAAAUUUAUAUGUGAGAUUCUUGAUAGGAGAGAAUUGUAAAUACAAUAAGGAACAUCAGCCUUAGCAUAUUUGUUAAUGUUUAUUUGGCCCUCUGGGAAAUAGGCCAGUAAAUUUUUAUUGUUUACUUUGAGGGGUUAUUUUAGUGAAAGUGACCCAAAUCAAAUCAAAACAUUUAAAUACCUACCCCUUGGGUUAUGGAUGAAGUGCAUAUGGAAACCACCCAAGCUUUAGGUGCUGCUAUUAGUGACAGAAAUAGUAACUGCUAACACAUUGUUUAUUCUUUGCCAGAAACUUUUAUAUUUGAAAAUACAUUCAAGGAGUUUCCUAGUGGCCUAGCAGUUAAGGACCCAGUGUUGUCACUGCUGUGGCACACGUUAGACCCCUGUGGCCAAAAAUAAAAUCCAUUCAAUUCUUGUAACCACUUUAUGAGGGAGAUGUAUCAUUAUUCCCAUACUAUAAGGUAAGGAAACGGAGUCACAGGGUUAAAAUAGCAUACCUAAUGCCGCAUAACUAGUAAGGGGAGGAGUCAGGACUCAAGCUCUGGUAAUUUGAUUGCAGAACUCACACUCAGUAAUUACAUCUACAACCUCUGUCCUAUAGUUAACAAGAGGUAGAGGAGACAAAAUUAAAUAUUAAGCCCUAAAAUGUUCAAAAUGAUAGUGAUACCUUCCAAAGAAAGUCUUAAAGUUAGGUUUGUAUGUGAAAGUACCAUACUAAGCACAAAUUAGUUUCUCACAUAUUCCAUGAUGGUACUACUGUCCCAUUGUAAGGAGGCAUGCUCUGACAAGUGUUUCGGUAACACAGGAUGUGGGAUGUUUAUGUGUUCUUGUCCCUCAGUGUGUAUGUGUGGUCCAUGGAUAUACUUGUAGCUAUAUGAAUUCAGUCGGCCUUUAAUAGUGUCCUCCCCUGAGAAAACUGUCCAGAAUAAAGCCACACAAUCUAUAGGUCACACUUGGUUGUACUGUUUUUGAGGUAUCAGCAUCAAACAGCAUUGUCAUCUCACUUUACAUGUCUCUGGAAGCUAAUCAAAAUCUAAAGGAAAAUUGACCUUUUGUAACUAAAAGACCACAAACAAACUAUACAUUUAAAUUGUAAACUUAGUUUGCAAAUUACCUAUCCCUAAGCUAUCAGAUAUACCAUUUUCUUAGUAUUUCAUGUCAAUUUAAAGAAUUGGACUUCUGGCAAAGCUUAAUAAUCAUUAACUUCUUUCUGUCUUACAGAGCAAUUCCAGGCAGUAUAUAGCAAGCUCUUACACAGCCUUCAGACAUACUCUUGGGUAUUACCUCAGAGAGGCAACCUCGUCCCCCCGCCAUUUCACAUACACAGAAAAUUGAUAGCUCCCGUUUCUGUUUUAUCAGCCCUGUAGUCGUUUCAUUAUUGCUUAUGUGGCCUCAUAAUUGUGAUUAUUUUCUUCCUUAUUUCUCUAAGAUUAGCCUGUAAGCCUAAAAGGCUUGAGCCCAGGCGGUAUCUUAACUUAUUUGGUGACUAAUGUAGUAAAUAGAGCCAGUGACUUCACAUAGCACUCAGUAUUAUGUUAGUUCCCUUCCUUACUAUGGAAUACAUUGAUACCAAUAUUAGUAUGACUACUCAAAACAACUUACUUUUUAGAUAGCCAGAGUUAGACCUUACUUUUCAGUGGAAUUCUCCUAGUCUCAAUUAAGUCAAAUCUAUUUCCAGAUUACCAAUAUCACAUUUUCAUUGAAGGAUCAGAUGGAAAGAGAAAUGAAAAACAUGAAAUAGUUCUUGCCAGGCACUUAUUUUGACAUCACCACUGCCCCCACCAAAAAAAAAAAAAAAAAAAAAAAAAAAAG